UUUUGUGUAGAAUAUGAUGAAAGUUGUAUAUCGGUGAUGGUCUUUUGAUUCAUAUGAUCGACAAAAAUUUCAACUCGCUACGUUCUUUCUGAUUCUUACAAAA
Molecule: small nucleolar RNA, 103 nt
Filed under: Arabidopsis thaliana (thale cress)
Lineage: Eukaryota; Viridiplantae; Streptophyta; Magnoliopsida; Brassicales; Brassicaceae
Description: Z41a snoRNA
Rfam family: Small nucleolar RNA R32/R81/Z41
About the family: This family contains the related snoRNAs R32, R81 and Z41 which are members of the C/D class of snoRNA containing the C (UGAUGA) and D (CUGA) box motifs. Most of the members of the box C/D family function in directing site-specific 2'-O-methylation of substrate RNAs.
Source: RNAcentral